Molecule: microRNA precursor, 67 nt
Filed under: Bombyx mori (domestic silkworm)
Lineage: Eukaryota; Metazoa; Arthropoda; Insecta; Lepidoptera; Bombycidae
Description: mir-2774 microRNA precursor family
Rfam family: mir-2774 microRNA precursor family
Source: Rfam by way of RNAcentral
ACAACCUUUGGACCGUUGAACUACCGAGAAAUUUCACCCGCUCGGUAGAAGAUCUUCCCUUUGACGU